Molecule: unclassified non-coding RNA, 315 nt
Filed under: Hevea brasiliensis (rubber tree)
Lineage: Eukaryota; Viridiplantae; Streptophyta; Magnoliopsida; Malpighiales; Euphorbiaceae
Source: RNAcentral
UUGAAGAAAAAGAAAUGAAAUUUCAACAAAUUCUAGAAAAUCAAAGAAAAAUUCAACAAAAGAUGAAGGAAGAUCAAAGAAAGUUAUUUGAUGAAAUCAAGCAUAGGUCAGCGAAAUUAUUUGGAGCUCGGAUCCAAGAAUGGGUACUGGCAAUUCUCAUGAAGAGGAAUGUUCCAAAAUUGCUGCAAGCAACAAUAGUGAAUCAAGAACACUAAUUGAAGGUGUGAAGCUUGUUGAUAUGCAAAAGGAAGCAAACAUAAUGAACUCAAAUUCACAACCUGACUUUUUAAUUUUCUCAAAACCAAACAGGAAAAG